CCUCUGUUCUCCUGGUCACCAGAAUUGAUGCAAACGUCUGCCAAAUACCACUGACACUUAAUAUACUCAGAUCGUGAAGAAGAAUUUAAUCCUCACAAUAACUCAUCUUUUCACUCUCAGCCUCUGGCUCUCCUAUUUGGGGAAGAGAAAUAUUCAGCAAGGCUGGUCAGAGAGGUUGGCUCAGUAUCCAGUUCCAGUCCCUGAGGUGGGCGCUAAUGGGUCUUUAAGUAUAGAGCUUUCUUUUAUCUCCAGUGGCUGA
This 259-nucleotide long non-coding RNA is filed under the name Coturnix japonica (Japanese quail). RNAcentral describes it as "lncRNA (ENSCJPG00005018057.1)". Lineage: Eukaryota; Metazoa; Chordata; Aves; Galliformes; Phasianidae. The record is from RNAcentral.